Molecule: ribosomal RNA, 326 nt
Filed under: uncultured bacterium
Lineage: Bacteria
Description: bacterial SSU rRNA
Rfam family: Bacterial small subunit ribosomal RNA
Source: RNAcentral
GAUGAACGCUGGCGGCGUGCUUAACACAUGCAAGUCGAACGGAGAAUACUCGCUGAUGCGAGUUUGCUCAAAUCUUGAGUGUUCUUAGUGGCGGACGGGUGAGUAACGCGUGGGUAACCUGCCCUAUGCAGGGGGACAACAGCUGGAAACGGCUGCUAAUACCGCAUAAGCGCACAGUACUGCAUGGUACAGUGUGAAAAGCCGAGACGGCAUAGGAUGGACCCGCGUCUGAUUAGCUAGUUGGUGAGGUAACGGCUCACCAAGGCGACGAUCAGUAGCCGGCCUGAGAGGGUGAACGGCCACAUUGGGACUGAGACACGGCCCAA